RNAcentral lists this signal recognition particle RNA (97 nucleotides) under Gammaproteobacteria bacterium. Its description in RNAcentral is "signal recognition particle sRNA small type". It matches the Rfam family "Bacterial small signal recognition particle RNA". Rfam says of the family: The signal recognition particle (SRP) is a universally conserved ribonucleoprotein involved in the co-translational targeting of proteins to membranes. The record is from RNAcentral. Lineage: Bacteria; Pseudomonadati; Pseudomonadota; Gammaproteobacteria.
UAUUGGUCCUCUCGCAAUGAUAGGUUGUUAACCCCGUCAGGCCCGGAAGGGAGCAGCGGCAGCAGCCGACUCAUGUGCCGGGGUGUGGCUGAUACGG